UUUUUUUUUUUUUUUUGGUCAAAAAAACACCACUCACUCUCUGUGAACGCUAAUAACAAGUAAAUCUUUUUUUAAUCAGAUUAUGCAGUCCAGACCAAAGUAAUAUCUUGUUCUUAAUCUGCAACUAUUUUGUUACUAGUAUUUAAGUUGUAAGAAGAUUUGAUGAAAUGGUACCCAAAAUGAGAAAAUCCCAAGAAACAUGCAAACAUAUGUUCCCUUUUUUUUUCUUAUUGAACACCAUAUGGUCCCUUUGUUAUGUAUCAGUAUUACUAAUUAAUAAAGAAAUUUAGUCCCACACCCAAAAUAAAUCUUGUAAUGUUUUUCCUUUUUUAAACACAUAAUCUUGUGAUGUUAUUACUUGCAAAUUGUACAAUACAUCAAGAAACUUUGCAAUUAUUUUUCAUCUAAAAAAAACUUUGCAAUUAUUUUUUUUAACUUGUAAAAUACUUUAAUACAUAUGAUUUUAUAUAUUAAAAUUUUGCAAAUUAGUUACGGCUUGAUAGUUGACAAAAAAAAAAGUUACGGCUUGAUAAAUAAAAAUAAAUAAAAGUAAGAGCCUUUAAAAUAAAACUCGAGAAUAGUUGGCAAAGUCAAGGACGAUCCUUCUUCUUCUUCUUCCUCGACUCGCUGCCAUCAAACCCCCAAAACUUGGAUUCGAUCUCUCAGCUCUAUAAUCUCAUCAAUUCUCUAUAUAGGGAUAAGCUAUGGGAUGUGCUGCUUCUCUUCCAGGCAAGUUUUCUCCUUUUCGUUUUCCUUUUCUUUCUCCGUUUUGUUGAAUUUAUCAUCCUCGGUGCUCGAUUACAAGUGAGAAGAACCUAUUCGCAAGACCCUCGAGUCCAAUUUCGGGAAAGGCGAAUCCUUUGGGGUUGAAUUAGAAGCUUUCGCGAAAUUAGGGAUUGCGAAUUAUCAUUUGCGUCUUUUUUUUAGGGUUUCCGUGUGAAGAAUCUGAGAAACCAAAUCGGUUGAUGUGUGUUUGUGUUUGUGUUUCAGAUAGGAACUCUGGAGCUUUAAACGGUCUUACUAGUUCAGAGAAUGCAGCUCCAGCAGAUGCUAAGAAUCUACGCGUAAAGGUGCCAUCUUUGUGCUCUCCUUGGUAUCACCUUUGUUGCUAGACUGAUUCCUUAGAGACUUAGUAAAGAUACCUAAGUGGAGUUCUACAGCUCAGAAAGUUCAUGCUUUUUUGUGAUCUUGGUCUUUUAUACUUUGAUUUGUUAGUGAUGGAGUGAGUAUUCUUUAUAGAAUGGUGGAAUGUUAGCAAUAAACCCUCAACUUUCUUCUCUCUAUAGCUAAGUAUAAGCGAGUGACUGUAUUGCAUUAUCUUCUUGGAGCUGUGUUUGAGACUCUUAUGCUACUGAAAGAAAAUGGCUUCUCAUUAGCCUGUGUAGUGUAGUUUGUCUCUCGUGUUUCCGCAAGGCAGACUUGCUAACUUUUGGAUUCACUUGAAUGCAGUUAGUUCUUUUAGGAGAUUCUGGUGUGGGUAAAAGCUGCAUUGUCCUUCAAUUUGUCCGUGGUCAAUUUGACGCAACAUCUAAGGUAAAUAAAACCUUUUUAUCUAAUCGUCACCUGAAACUUCCUUUAUGGUAUCAAAUUGUUCUUAACUGCCAUUGAAUCUCAAAAACAAUUAUUAUGUCUCAGGUAACUGUUGGAGCUUCAUUCUUGUCCCAAACAAUAACCUUGCAAGACUCUACCACAGUGAAGUUUGAAAUCUGGGAUACAGCAGGGCAAGAGAGGUGUUAAGUCCUCCAUGUAGAUUGGUGUUUCUUAGUUAAUUGCCUUGCAUGCUCGUUAAAGCUCAAUAUGUGUUCACUUGAUUAUUUUUUUGAAAGGUAUUCUGCUCUUGCUCCACUAUACUACCGUGGAGCUGGAGUUGCUGUUAUUGUGUAUGAUAUAACAAGCCCUGAAUCGUUCAAGAAAGCUCAGUAUUGGGUUAAGGUAUGUUUUCAUGUAACCCAAAGGGUUCCAUUUCUUAUAUGUUUUUGGGAUUGAUGCUUAUAGCUUGUGAACCAAAUGACUGGAGAACUGACUUGCAGAAAGUCAUAUAUGACCAUAGAAGAGUAGAACAAUUGCAAUACAAGUGUUAUAUCAUAUAUUUCCUUUGUUUUUAACCAUGCCAUUUAAAUCUAACAGGAACUGCAGAAGCAUGGAAGCCCAGACAUUGUUAUGGCUUUGGUUGGUAACAAAGCUGAUCUACAUGAAAAAAGAGAAGUACCAUCCGAGGUGAGUUUUUGCAUAAACUUCUUUAAGUAGAUAUACAUUUUGUUGUCACUUGCACGGUUCUUGCUUCUUCAGCGUAGGGGUGUCACAUUCUCAAUUUUGUAACAGGAUGGUAUGGAGCUUGCAGAGAAGAACGGCAUGUUCUUCAUUGAAACGUCAGCUAAGACGGCCGAUAACAUAAAUGAACUGUUUCAGGUGUGCAUUUCUUUAUCCCCUCAGGAUUUAUGACCAGCUGUUUUGUCAUCUGCAUUGAUUGAGCUCUUGUGAUUUGUUUUAUUUUCAUUGCUUUGGACUUUGGAGAAUGAGUAUAAGUUGAUAGGGAGUGAGAUCUUUGUUCUUUUUAUUUGUCUAAGCUACUUCUAAAAAUUCAGAGAAAACUGAGUAGGAGAAGAAUAAUAGUUUCAGGUGUAGAAAGAAUGAUUGAUUGUGAAUCAGGUUUUGAUGUUUUGUACAUGUUUGUGUGAAUAGGAAAUUGGAAAGAGGCUACCUCGUCCUUCUCAACCAUCAUCAUGAUUGGAGUGUUUGGAUCAUCCCAUCUUCAGUGAAAAGCUUAAACCUUUCUCCUGGUUACUAAUCUUUUACUUACUUUCAUGUAAUGUUAUUAAACGGUAUUUUAUUAUAUAUGUUUUAAGUGUGUUGUGUAAUACGAAGAUUCGAGGUUGAGAAGCCUUAAUUAAAUUAAGCAAUGAUGGGGGAUUAUCACAUGUACAUUUAUAUCUACUAUAAGAAAGAGAACGUAGCAGCUACUCUACAGAAACGAAUCUAUUGAAAAGGAAAAUUUGACCAUUUCAAACAAGACUAGCAUAUUAAAUCCUCUACUCAGACACGCCUCACAUGACCUGAUUCUACAUACUCGGAGUUUGUCAUGUCAUGUGUAUUCAUUUAUAACUAUGUUAGCUAGUGACAACUAGUUUUGACUUCUGAUUGUUUGUGCAUCCACAACUCACACACGUAUAUUUCGAAAUCCAAAAUUGAAUCUUGAAUCUGACGUGACACUAGUAUUUUAAAAAUUGGUUUAGUCAUCGGAACAAAACAAUUUUUUUUCAAACUGAUGUUUUAAAAACCGGUCUAGACGUAAAAAAAAAUUCAAUCUAAAACCCCCACUAAAUACUCACCUAAAUAUUAAUCUUUUAUAAAAACCGAAUUUUAGAAGACAGACAAACAAGUUAGAUGAUGCUUAAAUAAAUAGAAGAUAGUAACUAAAAAGAAAAAAAUCUGAUUGGUUCAAAAAGGGACAACUUGUGGCUUUUUUCAGACAGAGAAGACUUUAGGUGUUUGUUUAUUUUAUUGUCACGUUGGUAAGGAAGGAUUAAGCGAUAACUGUUGUUUUUUAUUAAGGGGUCUUAAUGGCUCCAUCGCAUUCUUCCUCCCUUUAACCAUCUUCUUCUUCUUCCUCCUUUGGAGCUAUCUCCAGGAUGGGAUCAACGAAUGGUUCCGAUGAGGAGCUCAUGAGUCGUCUCGUUGACUCCGUCAAGCAAAUUUCAAAGUUCUCCAAUUCCAAAGGCUUCUUCGGGAGGAUCCAAGGCGAUCUCGUCCGUAGGAUCACCCUUCUCAGCCCUUUCUUCGAGGAAUUAAUCGACAUCAACGCUGAGUUGAACGAAGAACAACAACUCACAGGUUUUGAGGUUAUGAGGAUCGCUCUCGAUUCAAGCUUAGAGCUUUUUCGAUCUGUCAAUGGAGGCAGCAAACUUCUUCAGGUUUUUUUCUUUUACUAUUUCUUCCUUAAAGAUUCUCUCGUUGGUCGCUUGCAAAGUUAGCAGCUUUCCUCUGUUUUCUUAGGGUUUAAGAUACUUAACCAAUAUCAAGAACAAGAAAAGGUUGACUCUUUUCAUGUUUUGUUUGUCCUCUCUGUGCUGGCAGAUCGUCCAUAGGGGUUCUAUUAUGCAGAAGUUCCACGACGUGACAGUGGAGAUAGAAGCAGCCUUAACUCAGAUCCCUUAUGAUCACUUCGAAGUCUCCGAGGAGGUCAUAGAACAGGUUCUUCUCAGCGCAUUUGUUUUUUUUUUUCUCUCGUUUGGCUUUGGCCACAAUGGUUUGCAAAUUCUAAUGAUAUUAUCUCUUUUGAAUUUGUAGGUCAAGCUUCUGCAUUCUCAAUUCAAGAGAGCAACAGAAAGACAAGAGGACUAUGAUCUGCAGCUAAGCCAUGAUCUAGCCGUGGCAGAGAGCGUGGUAGAUCCUGACCCUGAAACCCUCAAAAGACUGUCGCAAGAGCUCCAACUCAGCACUAUUGAUGAGCUCAAGAAAGAAUCUCACGCCAUUCACGAGUACUUUCUUUCGUAUGAAGGGGAUCCAGAUGACUGCUUUCAGAGGAUGUCCUCUCUUCUUAAAAAGCUGGUAGACUGUGCAUCAACUGAAAGUUCGGAACCGGAUGCAUCUACUGGCAGCAAAGUCAUUUCGAGACAUCGGUCUCCUGUUAUACCAGAGUACUUUCGGUGUCCGAUAUCACUUGAACUGAUGAAAGAUCCUGUCAUCGUCUCCACUGGACAGGUCUGCUUUUGCAUUGUAGUGAGUUUGGUUCAUUACAUUUGUGUAGUGCUGGGCAUUUUGGGUUAUUCGGGCAGGGGACAGGGGUGUUUAGGACCUGUUUAGGAACCGGACAAUUUUUAGAUCGGUUUGGGUUGGGUUUCUAUUUUUAUAAAACCCAAAGUGGAACCGAAAUAAUUUGUGUUUGGUUUGGGUUUAAAGUCCGAAAAUCAAAAAAACUUCAAAAACCCUGAAAAAUAUUCAAAUAAUUCGGGUUUUGGAUAUUUUUAUUUCUAAAUUGUAUUAUAUAUAUAUUAAAAAUAAUUAAUAUUUUAUUAUAUUUUGAAUAUUCGAGUACCUCUUUGGUUUUCUGUUCCAGUCGGUUUCGGUAUUUCGGGUUUAGAAAAAAUAGGAAUCCUUUGGGUUUCGGUUUUAGUUUUCUCGGUUCAGUUGGUUUUUGGGUUACUGUAAUUUGCCCAGGACUACAUUUUUGUAUGCAUUUGUUGUUUUAGCUGGUUUUUUCUCGACCUUGCAGACAUAUGAGAGAUCAUCCAUACAGAAGUGGCUAGAUGCUGGUCAUAAAACCUGUCCGAAAUCUCAGGAGACACUCUUGCAUUCCGGAUUAACACCUAACUACGUGCUAAAAAGUCUCAUUGCUCUGUGGUGUGAGAGCAACGGUAUCGAGCUUCCGCAAAACCAAGGGAGCAGCUACAGAACCACAAGACCAGGAGGAGGUAGCAGCUCUUCGGAUUGUGACCGAGCAUUUGUCCUCGCCUUGUUAGAGAAGCUGGCCAACGGAUCUACAGAACAGCAAAGAGCUGCAGCUGGAGAGCUUCGGUUACUAGCCAAGAGGAACGCGGACAACAGAGUCUGCAUCGCUGAGGCUGGAGCCAUACCGCUCCUCGUUGAGCUUCUAUCCUCACCGGAUCCUCGGACUCAAGAACACUCCGUGACGGCUCUUCUGAAUCUUUCUAUAAACGAAGGCAACAAAGGAGCCAUUGUUGACGCAGGAGCUAUCACAGAUAUAGUGGAAGUGCUUAAAAACGGAAGCAUGGAGGCUAGAGAGAACGCAGCCGCGACGCUUUUCAGUUUAUCUGUUGUAGAUGAGAACAAAGUGGCGAUAGGUGCUGCUGGAGCUAUCCAAGCUCUUAUAAGCUUGCUUGAGGAAGGAACAAGAAGAGGGAAAAAAGACGCGGCAACUGCUAUAUUCAAUCUGUGCAUAUACCAAGGGAAUAAAUCAAGAGCCAUUAAGGGAGGUAUCGUUGAUCCUCUGACAAGGUUACUGAAAGAUGCAGGUGGAGGAAUGGUGGAUGAAGCUUUGGCUAUCUUGGCGAUACUUUCAACGAACCAAGAAGGGAAAGCAGCUAUAGGUGAAGCAGAUACUAUUCCUGUUUUGGUUGAGAUUAUAAGGACAGGGUCACCGAGGAACAGGGAGAACGCUGCAGCUAUACUUUGGUAUCUAUGUAUUGGGAAUAUGGAGAGGUUGAAUGUAGCGAGAGAGGUUGGUGCAGAUGUUGCGUUGAAGGAGCUUACUGAGAAUGGGACUGAUAGAGCUAAGAGGAAAGCUGCGAGCUUGUUGGAGAUCAUUCAGCAACUCGAAGGUGUUGUGAUAUCUACUGUUCCAUGAAAGGCUUGCUCUUUGUGGAAAUCUUAUUUGUUUCAGUAUAGAUUAUAUAUGUAUAGGAAGCUUUUGGAUUGACUCUGACUAAAGAAGCUUAUGUAAUGUCUACUCAGUUUUGUGUAUACAAUAAAACCUCUUUAAUUAGUAUUUGUUAGUAGUGUAAGAUAAUAUUCUCUCUGCUCGUUAUUGCAUUCUGGUCAUCUGUUGUUAAGUUGAAAUGAAAAUAUGCAUCAACAAAUAUAUUACUGAUUUGUAUAUAAAAGAUCAUACUGUCUCUCACCACAAAAGAAAAACAUAUACGAGAACAUUUGAAUACCAUUCACUCUGCAACCAAAACGAUCCAGAAGAAGAGUCACAAAGACAUAAAAAGACAAUAAAUAAACACACAAUAGCACUCGAGAGAAAAGAUAACGCUCUCUUACGGAUCAGCCUUGUUUAUCCAUGAAUGUUUCUAUUAGUGUUGCGCCAUUGAUGAUCUUUGUUGUAGCAAUAAUCAAAUCAUAAGCCAUUCCUUCCUGAAAAAGAAGCAAUUGAAGAAGGAAGGCUUCAGCAAAAGAGUGUCUUUUAAUCAUAAACUCUUGGAAGUUUGCAUAUUACCUUGGAGGCGAGAAACCGUAGGGCAGAGAUUUCAGCAAAUGUUACACCUCCAAUGAAGACAACAAGAACAACUGAGCGUCUUCCAUCAGCAACCCUGUAAUGAUGUUGUAACAUAAAUGUUUUAUCCUUCUGUAGAAACUACUUUUGUGGUAUCGAACUAAUUGAUAAUGAUAAUAAACUUUACCCAUUUGAAGCUCCAUGCAAUGAAUCAACUGAUGGACUACUUGGGAAUCCACUCUGCAUAGAGAUGGUACAUAAUGUGAUCACAAAAUAGUCGAAAACAGAAAAUACAAUAGCAUAACAAAACAAUUCUUUUUUUUUUCUCCAGUUGGGUAAACGUGUACUGACUCUUUUAGUUUCCAGAUGUGGUCCUGGCAACAGCUUCAAAAUGUCUUCUAUUGGACGCCUGUAAGGUAGAUUGAGGACUCAUUAAUAUUAAACACAUCACUCUGUCAACAUUCAUAUAUGAAUUAAUAAAUGUUCUUUCAAGUUCUGAUAUUUGCUGAGUUCUUCUGUGCAUGUCACUUAAUGCUUCUCAACUCGAAACUGAACAGAAUUCUAGACUUUUUCUCUUCAUGGUUAUAUUAAUAUAUAGAAAAGCCCAAGUGUUAUUUUAUACACAGGCUAGCUAGUCAACAUUUUGGUCUAGAAGAGUGCAAGAACAUACUAACCAUCCGGAAUGUAUAGCUUGUUGGACAAGACGAAUGCUAAGAGGAGCAUAUCCAGAAUAGACAUAAGCGAUAUCAACCGGCCUGCAACAAGAACAGUGUUUCAAACAACUCAAAUAAGCACUAAUUUUAUUUCUUACGAUUAGAAAAAGUUUGGUACAAGGCCUAGCAUAUCAGGUGAAUGAAGGUAACAUAUGACAUGAUAUCACAAAUGCAACAUAUGGAAAGUGAUGACGUAAAACCAUAAAUGCACAGAAUACAACACAAUAGACAAACAAGGAGGAAACAGAUUGCAAGUCAAGAAAAAGGGAGAGUCCUCAUAGAUAAACAAAAUUUGCAAGUCAAGAGCGAGCUUUCGAGCCGGGCUUUAGAAGAUACCAGAGAUAUCUUCGAAAACAAAAAUAUUCAGCCAGAGCUGUAACUAAAUCAUGCAUUAGCGAUAAUGAAGGUAUUGUCAAAUAUUGUAGUUGGAAAAUCAGCUUUCAGGUUUUAUACGUUCAUUCAAGAUUACGUUUGCAUAUUUUCUGAACUAGACAUCUGGACCCGCUUCAUAAGCGUAACCCCAUAAACAAAAAUCAUGCCAUCAUGUAUUCAGUUGGUGACAACAUGACUAAAAAGAAUAUUUACCUUGACGUAUCUGUGUCUUCAACUAUAAGUUUCAUUGUACGUUUCACUGUCUGCCAGUUGCUUUUAAACUCCUGUAGAAACCAAACGAAUGUACAACAACCCCUUAGAAUAUCAGACACACUUAACCCCAAUAAACAAGAAGAUUGUUCAUCCCACAAAGUAGCCAAGAAUAACCAAACCUGUUUCUUCAACAAUCCUGCUUUUUCCAAGUUGUUCAAUACGUUCACAUGCUCAAACCCAUAACUGUGGAGUAGUUCCGUUCUGGAAGUUGAGACACGAAGACAAGAUAUCAUUCAAAAAGCAGAAAAAUUAAAUAUAAAAUACCGAUGAUUGCUGGAAGCUAGCUUGCCUUAUAUAAUCAAAUUGCUUUUUCGGUAACCCUGAGUUUGUAAUAGAAAAUAGGACCAAUAGUCGCAGGACUUUAGUGAGAGGCUCCUGUUUAUGGAUCAAUUCUUCUAUGUACUCAAAGCAUCUGUAUUAACAAACUAGAGUUAGUAAUAAUAAAUCAUAUAACAGACUUUUCCAUUAUGCCAUCAACGUAAGAUGUUUUCCACAUCACUUGUAAUAGAAAGAAUCAUCAAGAUACUUUUGAAUGGAAGUAUUAAAUUCAAUUUCCUUAAGAAGAAACUUACAUGUCAUAACUUUCUGCCUCAACUAGUGUUUGUUCCAUGUCAAGCUGCGAAAGAAAUGACUGCUUGGACGUGAAUGUUGUCAGGUGCUGAGCAAGAUGUAUGUGCCUCUGGGAAAGAAAAAAAUCAUACAAAAUCAAGUUAGGAUGAAACUUAUCGUUUUCUGAACCAUCUGCGAGAUAAAACAAAAGGAACUUUAAGAAAACAAGGCAAUACUUACUGUCAUCUCUGGUAAUGAGUUAAGCUUCUUGACAAAGUCCUUUAGCUCAGAAACUGUCUGGGUCUGUGUAUUAUAUUAUCAUACACCAUUAAAAUCUCGGUCCAACUAAUAAUCUAAGUUUAAAAUGUAUGGAUAGGCUGAUAGUUCCUAAGGAAUACAUGGUCUAUAUUAAUUUGGUAACUAUUUAUGUGCCAAAGAAUACUCCUGAAUCCUGAUCGAGUCUAAGAGAUCUGACCACAAAUAUGUAUGUACCAUAACCUCUACCGCGAAAACAAGACUACCUAAAGGGAGAGAGCGACAAAACAAACGUACAGAAUUAAUUUCAGUAUAGUCCUCCUUCAUGGUUGUUGCCUUCUGCCGUAGAACCUGCAAUCAUACCGCGUCUGUAGUUGAGUAAAAAGAAUCCCAUUUAACGCAAAAAAUGAAAGCUAAAAGGACAAACGUCAACCUGCACAACGACUUCAAAGUUGAGAUCCCUCGUCUCCUUGAACAAUUUAUCACUGUAAAUUUAAACAUUCAAGCAAUAAAUUUAUGAAAGACAUAGAUAGGCACAGUAGCUUGGAAAGUCCAAUCUAGCUACCAGUUUAGGGAGCGAUUUUGUGUGCAUAAUCAAUUAAUACACAUUAAUAUCAACACAACAGUGUGCUUAUCCAAUCCAAGAAAAUCACAAUUUCUAUUCCAUGCAUCAAAAAUACUCACAAAAAUCAUAUAGCAAUGCAGUAGAAAUGGUCUCCUACGGUUGAAGAAAUUUGUAUAUACGAUGCAAGAAACUAACCUUGAAUUAAGGGGAACCUUCAUCUUUUUCCCCUCCUGCUGAGAACCCAUCACAGACGAGUCGACCUCGACAGCUCCAUUACUGAUAUGCAAAAACUUUAAAUAGGGGUUGGAGUCAGCUCACAGAAAACCCAAUCGACCAGCUUGAUUAAAAUCCAAAUUGUAUGGUUGUUUGUUAUCAACCAAUGAAAUUAAGUAGGAUAAUGACAAUCGUUUGUGGCAUUACCUCGUUUAACAAUCCUUCAUAAGUUAACUGGGUACACAUUGGUGUAACCAUAUCAACCUGAAACAGAAAGUAUUAAAGUCAAUCAGAAUGUACUUUUGAAAGAUAUCUUUGUGUUGAAGGAUGUCAUAUAAUUGGGAAACGCAUGAUAAUCAUACCUCUCUAUCCAACAGAAUGAGUGUAUCUACUUCAGGCCUUCCCACCUGGAAUAGAACUUGCGUCAUUUAGAAUAGUGACCAAAGGAAACAAAAUCAUCUGAAAAAUAUAAGAUAUCGAAGUCAUUGAAUAUUAAAGCACUCAAAAUGCUGCAGGCAAAUUUUUACAUCAUUGGUAUUGACAGGUUCCUCCACUUGCAUGCGGUUAAGUAUAUCUGCAACACGAACUGAUCCUUUGCCCUUUGCCCUCACUUUCGGUAUAACUCCAAAAGAAAACUAUGAUAGGUGUCAGCCAUGAGAAAGCACAAUGUGGAUCAUAACGUAAAGAAUAAGGAAAGAUUCAAACCUCGAGCUCAUGUAUUGCUUUUGCAACAUGCCAAAGUGAGCUAACAUCACCAUCGACAAGGCAAUCCUAUCAUUUUGAAAAACAAGAAAUAUGUGAGCUUAAGGCCUCAAGGGAAAUGGUACAUGAAGUAAUAAGUACAAAUUGGACAUAUGCGAGUUGUACACACUUUUUCACAGAGCUCAAGCUCAAAAGAUAUCACAUCCUCAUCCAGUGGAACCAUAUACAGAGGAAACUCCUUCACGGUAACCAGGUUAUGAACUUUUUCCUGCUCAAGAAUCUGAAAUAGCAGGAUAAGAUAUUUAUCACCCUUUAUUCAAGAGGUAGUAAGAACAAUGAAAAUGAAUCACAAAGAGUCGAAGAAGAUGGCAAUAACCACACACCUUCUCACACGCGACAGACCUACGAGGAACAAAGUAAACGUAGUAGUCUCUCUGAAUCGCUUUGGAAAUAUCAUUCUGAAUGUGCGAAGCUAUGUGUUUCAUAAAACUGAGUUGAGAUCGAACAAGAUAGACCACUUUCGUGCAUUCAGUCUGAACUGGUUCUUCAGAAAGAUGUCGUAAUUCCAAACCAAGUUCCUGUUAAGCAGAAGACCACUAGUGUUGAAACAAUACUCUCAACCAUUAUAAGAAGAAAAUAAAUAAUCUCAUUUCUUCCUUUCCUAAACAGACUAACAGAGUAAUCAAUCUAAAGUCAUUUAAACCUGGCAUUACCUUAAGUGUGGAAGUCUGGAUGAUCAAUGAAACGGAACCGCUUAGCUUUGGAUCAAUAACCAGACACUUAGUUCCACGAAUCUACAAAAAGGCACCAAAGAGAGAAGACAAAACAUUAGUUGUGUUCCGAAAGCUCUUUUUCUACCCAAAAUGUGAAAUUGGUAACUGAUAACAACAACAAUGCGAAUCAUAUCGAAAGAGAGAGAGUAACGAGACUUACGUCUUUAAGCAAGUUUACGAGCUCCCUCUGAGACUUCUCCCUGAAUUAGAAUUGAGCAAAACAUAUGAGAGGAGAACGAGAAAACGAUCAAUUUAAGUAUUGAAAAUGGACUCUCACCUAAUGGAUUUGAGAUUGAGAGGAGCAUUCUCCAAGUUAGGGAUCUGCGCCAUGGAAGACGAUCAGAGAUGAUCGGACCUGUUCGACGUUUCUCUGUUUUUUUUUCCUUCACCGUGCGACCGCAAAGGACGAGCACGGUGGAGAAGAUAGUUAGAAACACUAAAUGGGCCUCAUAAGUCUGUAUAUGGGCUUUUACAUCUAAGCUUAGAAGCUGGGCUUGGUCUUGUUCUGUGAGUGGUGUUAAUUUGCUCAUAUGUUUUUGUCAAACGUUAUUAAUUUGCCCAAAUGUUUUCAUCAACGAUGUUGAUAAUGUUCAAGAUUAAUGUACAUGAGAAUGUUUUAUAUGAAACAAAUUUCAAAUAUAUUUCAAACUGACUAAGCAGAGUCAGUUUAUUUUUUGCAUUGGAAAAUCUGGUACUACUUGGAAAAUUUUAGAGGAACAAAUUGACAACAAGAAGACGUACGAUAGAUAUACGUCACUGGUACAAAGGGUCUCUCAUGUGUCAAAAUAUGUGAGUUUACAGAUGUUGAGGUAGACAAGGCCACGUCCAUCAUGAAGAUGUUGAGGGGGAAUCAUCAUGAAGAAUGCUAUGAGAGUGUACGUCCAUAAGAAUCUGGGAUCCACUCUAUAUUGUUUGGUAUUCAUAUGAAGUUAUGGACCAUUGAUGUGUUGGACCCGCUGCUACUUAUAAUGAAUUCAUGAGUUUAUAAAUAAAAUAAGCAACCCUACAUUUUUGUUCGUUUACUAUUAGGCAACCCUAGACGUAUUGCUUCCACACUACAAAAAAACAGGCGAGAAAAACGAAUUCCCAACGAAUUUGUUUGCGAAAUACUCCCUCCGUUCUUAAAAAAUCCAUGUUUUAGAAAAAAAAAUUGUUUCAAAAAGAUACAUUUUUUAUAUUUUCAAUACAUAAAUUAAAUGUAAAUUGUAAACUUCAAAAAACAUAAUUGUAUUUAUUAAAAUUCUAUUGGUGAAAACUUGUGGGAUAUAGUUGAUUACGGAAAAUAAUGUAUUGGUUACUAAAAUUUGAUAUAUUUUCUUAAUAAAUAUGAAAAUCUUAAAAUAUGGAUCUUUUAAAAACAAAGAGAGUAUAACGUAGGUCGGAUUUCAUGAAAUUAAACCGUCUAAUGCAAUGGUUGAGGAAAAAUAGAUUGAGAUAUAUAUAUUCGAGAAAAUAGGAAUGAAACUUUAUUCUUUGAAGAUAUAGACAUAGGCAAUAGUUUCGAAGAUAUAUAACACUAUACUAUACGAUAGUUCUCGUGGGGAAAUAAGUAGUUGUUCCACAAAUUUGUUGUCGAAUUUUCCGAUAGACAUGCGUUUCUUUAUUGUUUUUUUUUCUUUCAAAUUUGUAGAGAGUAUUAGUAAUAUAAAAAUAUUCAAUUUCAAAGAUUUUGACGAAUUCACCACGGAGUGAUAACGAGCAGCCAGUACCUGUCCGAUUAAUCAAUUAUCUAGGGCGAGUUUUUGAACAUUGUACUCAUCUUAUACCAUUAGAUAAAUUCAUUAACUUGUAGUUUUGUACUGUUUAUAAUGUUUUAGUUAAUUUAUAUUUUCAUUUGCAUAUAAAUUAUAAAUUAUAUUUUUAUAUGCUUUUUUUUUUCUAUUAACUGUUCAUCGAUUUCACAAAAUUAAUGCUGAGUCUCCUAGGCAAGUGUAUAAAAAAAAUUAAAAUAAAACAAAGACACAAAAGGGCCCCUUCCUCAACGUCACCCACUAAACCACGAACGCGGGAACCCAUAAUUUCAUUUUAUUCAUUUUCACAGCCGUCGUCGGUCGUGCCUCCCUCUUCCCCUCUUCAUUCAUCUCUUUCCACUUCUCCACGAACUUUUCAAAUCCACUCUCCUUUCAAUCAAUCUUCUCCCCCCCCCUCCUUUCGUGCAUCGCGACGAGCUUUACUACUAUGACUUCUUCCUCGAACUCAUCCUCCGCCGUCAGAUCGUCGGCGAAACACGCGGCUGACCGGAUUCAGCAGCACCUGCCUCCCAGCAACCCCGCGUCCCUCUCUUCGUCUUCCUUGAACUUACCCUCUAAGACCUCUAUCGCCGCUUCGAUUAACCACCACUCUCCUCGCCCUAAAGAUCGACCUUCCUCCACCGCCUCCUCCGUCUCCGCCGCUUCUCCUUCUACUCGCCGCUCCGGCACCCCCGUCCACCGAUCUCAGUCUAAAGACUUCGACGACGACAACGGUAUCUCCCCCUUCCUCUCUCUCUCUCUCUACUUCGUGUAUUAUCCGUACGAUUCUCCAUUUGCGUUAACGGAUUUGAUGACUCUUCACUCUAGGGCGAUUGUAUACUCGAUUUGGGGAUUAGGAUUGUUAGUGAUGAUCGUUGAUUUUGAUUUUGAGUUUAAGUUGAUUGGUCAUAUGGUGAAUUGGAACUUCGAUAUUGAGUUUGAAUUUCAAAUUGUUAUAUUCUCUACAGAUCCAGGGAGGGUGAGAGUUUCUGUAAGAGUUCGACCUCGUAACGGAGAGGAGCUUAAAUCAGAUGCUGACUUUGCUGAUCUUGUUGAGUUACAACCUGAGGUCAGUCACUAUGCCUUUCUCCCUCUCUUAAGUUAUAGUUAGAUCCUUAGAAAGUGCUCUUUUGUUUUGUUUUCUCUACAGAUAAAGCGGCUUAAGUUGAGGAAAAACAAUUGGAACUCUGAGUCCUAUAGAUUUGACGAAGUCUUUACAGACACAGCUUCUCAGAAACGCGUUUAUGAAGGAGUAGCAAAACCUGUAGUCGAGGUUAGAAAAUCAUUCUAUUCUUGAUGUAGAAUCUUUGAGGAUGAGAUUUUAUUUUCGAUAUUCAUUACUGCAUUCGUUCUGUAGGGUGUUCUGAGUGGAUACAAUGGCACAAUCAUGGCUUAUGGUCAAACUGGCACGGGUAAGACUUACACCGUGGGAAAAAUUGGUAAAGAUGAUGCAGCUGAGCGUGGUAUCAUGGUUCGAGCUCUUGAGGAUAUACUUGCCAGCGCGUCCUCUGCUUCUUCUGUUUCAGUGGAGAUCUCUUAUUUGCAGGUGUGACACUAUAGAUCUUCUGCGUUGAUCUCUUUUUCAUUUAUAGCAUGACUUCAAUGCUUAGACCAUACAUGCCUAACAUCUAUGUUGCUCUUCUUGUAAUUCACAGCUUUAUAUGGAGACUAUACAAGAUCUUCUUGCACCUGAGAAAAGCAACAUUUCAAUCAAUGAGGAUGGGAAGACUGGGGAAGUAUCAGUACCAGGUGCAACAGUAGUUAACAUUCAAGAUCUAGACCAUUUCUUUCAAGUUUUGCAAGUCGGUGAGACAAACCGCCAUGCGGCGAAUACAAAGAUGAAUACAGAAUCCUCACGUAGCCAUGCCAUUCUUACGGUGUGUAACACCUUAGAAUAUUUGGUCUUUUAUGGUUCUUGGUCAUUAAAAGUAGUCCAUGUUUUGGAUUAAUGAAAUGUAUCUUCUAUGCAGGUUUACGUUAGGCGGGCUAUGAAUGAAAAGGCUGAAACAGGAACUAAAUCGCCAAAACCUGAAUCUUUGGGAGAUAAAGGCAUUCCAAGAGUUAGAAAGAGUAAACUUCUAAUUGUGGAUCUUGCUGGCUCAGAAAGAAUAAAUAAAUCUGGUUUGAACUCAUUCCCUGUUCAUAUAACCACCAUUCAUUUCAUAUCAAGUAGGUUAUGACUGAGUUAUAUCCUGUUUUUUAUUAAGGCACUGAUGGCCACUUGAUUGAAGAGGCGAAAUUCAUUAAUCUUUCACUGACAUCUCUGGGAAAGUGCAUAAAUGCAUUAGCUGAAGGCAGUUCUCAUAUACCGACUAGAGAUUCUAAGCUAACAAGGCUUCUUCGUGAUUCUUUCGGGGGUUAGUUUACCAGAACUUUCUUGAGCCAUUUAUAAAAACACAAAGCGUGGCUCACUUCUGUGUGCCUUCUACAUUUUUCAUGUUUUUCCAGUUAAGCUUGUGCCUAUUACAUAAAUUUUGAAAUUGUUCUUUUUUCGGCACUGAUCAAAUAGGUUCUGCAAGGACUUCACUUAUAAUAACUAUUGGGCCGUCUGCACGGUAUCAUGCAGAGACAACUAGCACAAUAAUGUUCGGACAAAGGGUCAGUUUCAUGUUUCUGUUGAUCCAUGAUUCUAUCUAUAUCUGCAGAAUCGUAAACUGAGAAAGACACAGUUUUCUGAUAUUUUAAAGACACAGUUUUCGAGUAAUGCCUUGUUGGUUUUGUCUCACUUUUACAGGCAAUGAAAAUAGUAAACAUGGUAAAGCUUAAAGAAGAAUUCGAUUAUGAAAGUUUGUGUCGGAAGCUUGAGACUCAGGUGGACCAUCUUACUGCAGAAGUUGAAAGACAAACCAAACUAAGAAAUAGUGAGAAGCUCGAGUUGGAGAAAAGAUUGAGAGAAUGUGAAAACACUUUCGCUGAAGCAGAAAAGAACGCGGCAAGGUCCAAGGUAUUUGUCUCUUGUAAUGAUUGGCUACUAUUUUCUUUAUAUUGAACUAUUGUCUAGUUUCUUGAUAUGAUGCCUAUUUUACUAUUAUCCGGUGCUUAUAUUUUGAGGGGUGAAUCUGAAUUACAGUUCCUGGAGAAGGAAAAUGCCCGCUUGGAGCUUCGUAUGAAAGAACUAUUGAAGGAUUUGGAAAUGCAGAAAGAUCAGUGUGAUCUAAUGCGUGACAAAGCCACACAAUUGGAGAUGAACUUGAAAAAUACAAAGGUACACUUUCUAUCAUAUGUUCGUAGUUCUCUCAGCAACUACUUAGAAUAUAUUAUUAGUUGACUACUCUCUUUCUUUUGAUCUUUAUUUAACUACUCACAGAAGCUCUUGGUUGUUUUCUCACUAUUAAGAUAAAUUUUAAGCAGUGUCUUCUUUUGUAGUUGUGUAUGUAUAAUUUAACAGGCUCUGACAUUGUCAUUUUACUUGUUAGUAGCAGCAACAACUGGAAAGUUCGGCAUAUAAGGAAAAACUUGCAGAUGCCAGUAAAGUAUACGAGACAAAAAUUGCUGUUUUGGUUCAGCGGGUUGAGGAUGAACAAGCCCGGUCAACAAAUGCCGAGCAUCAAUUGAACGAAAUGAAAAAUAUUUUGAGUAAUCAGCAGAAGUCUAUUCAUGUUAGUUAAAACUCCUUUAAAAAAAAUUUGAAUGCAUUAGUCUUGUGUUCAAACUAAUGUUUUUUUUGGGUGUUCUAGGACCAAGAGAUGGGCAACUAUCAAUAUCAAAGGGAACUUGCGGAAGCCACUUACACGUAUGAAUCUAAAAUCGCGGAGCUCCAGAAGAAAUUGGAAGAUGAACAUGCUCGGUCUAACUCUGCAGAGGAGCAACUUAGACAGAUGAAAAGUAUUAUAAGCGAUCGCCAAGUUUUAUCACAGGUUAUUGGCGUAUUCUUGAUUUUUUGAAACUGGAUUUUAAUAAGAACGAUACUUUCAGCUUUAUGUUUCUGUCUUUUUUAUCUUUUCAGCAAUGAUAAAUUCUACUCUUGCAGAACUUUCUGUCUCCAACUUUGUUUUUUUUUUUUUCUGGUUUUGGUUUCAGGAAAAUGAAAAGACAAACGAACUCAAGAAAAAACUAGAAGAACUUUCACAGAUGUAUGAGUCGACAGUAGAUGAACUCCAGACAGUGAAAUUAGACUAUGAUGAUCUGCUCCACCAAAAGGUGUGACCCCUAAACAUCUGCUUACAGAAAGAAUAUCAAACAAUUAAGAGUUGGUCAUAUUAAUUUAAAACAUCCAACUGUUGAUUUUCGCUGAUGAAUACACAUUAAAAUUUGUUUGACAUAGGAAAAACUUGGUGAAGAGGUCCGGGAUAUGAAGGAAAGGCUUCUUUUGGAAGAAAAGCAGAGAAAACAAAUGGAGAGUGAGCUUUCCAAACUAAAAAAGAAUCUAAGGGAAAGUGAAACUGUUGUUGAGGUGAAUUUAGAAUGAGCUUGUUUCACCUUUUUCAACAUGUACUUGUACUUCAUGGUCUUGCUAAGUCCAUUUCUAUUUCACAGGACAAGCGUGUGAAGGAAGAUCUUCCAAAAGGACCAUCAGAAUCUGGAGCUCUACCAGGCUCACAGAGAUCUCAUGGGUUAAAAAAGUCUCUAUCUGGACAGAGAGCUACCAUGGCAAGACUUUGUGAAGAAGGCAUGAUUCUUUCUCGUUAGUUUAGCUCGAUUUUAUUCUGGGAUAAUCCAAUUGACAUCUUCGUUUCUACUUCGGUUUCAGUGGGAGUCCAGAAGAUAUUACACCUGAUUAAGUCCGAAGACUUGGAAGUUCAAAUCCAAGCCGUUAAGGUGGUGGCUAAUCUGGCCGCUGAAGGUGUGUGAUUUCAUCGCUCUAUAUAUUAGCAUGUGUCAGUAGCCUCAAAUUUAUAUUCCUCUCUACUGUUACAAUACUGACUUUAUCUUUGUAUAUCAUGUGUCCUUGUACCUAAACGACUUGCAUUCUCUGUGUGUAUGUGUUUAGAAUCUAAUCAGGUCAAGAUUGUGGAGGAAGGCGGUGUGGAAGCUUUGCUUACGCUUGUUCAGUCAUCUCAAAAUUCAACAAUUCUUAGAGUGGCUUCUGGUGCAAUAGCUAAUUUGGCAAUGAACGGUAAGAACUUCUAUUGGUAGUUCAAGUAAUUUUUAUGUUAUUGUUGUCCACAAACCCGUUUAAACUUACUACUAAAAAGCAGUGCCAAUUUAGACUUUAAAAGUGGUCUCAUGUGGUUGUGUCAUUUAUUUACAAUGCUGGUUUGCUUGAAUGUUGAAUCUGCAAGUUGAAUUAGAUGGUUCGUGAUGCCAUGCUUCAAUAAUAUGGUUUCUUUUAUUAAUUGCAGAGAAGAGUCAAGAUUUAAUAAUGAAUAAAGGAGGUGCUCAACUGCUAGCAAAGAUGGUGACCAAAACAGAUGAUCCACAAACUCUAAGAAUGGUAGCUGGUGCACUUGCCAAUUUAUGUGGAAACGGUGAGCACAAGAUUUUCAAACGCAUCUACUCGUCUGCACUGUAUAGCAUAUGCAAAAUCCAAUAUAUUUGGUGAAGCUUUUUGCUGGGAUGAUAAGUAUGUAUUUAACUCGUACAUGUUGCUGUCUAUUGCACAAACAGAGAAGUUUCUUAAGCUCCUGAAAGAAGAGGAAGGUAUCAAGGGACUACUCACAAUGGCGCAGUCCGGAAACAUAGACAUCAUAGCUCAAGUGGCAAGAGGGAUGGCAAAUUUUGCAAAAUGUGAAACUCGCGAAAUCAUGCAAGGUUUGUUGUAAUACAGAGAUACCUCAUAAAAAAAUGCAGAUCCAAGUCAAUUUUGCUAAUAUACGUUGAGUGAUCAUAUGCAUCGCAGGGCGUAGAAAAGGUCGUUCUCUUCUUCUGGAAGAAGGUGCUCUUGAAUGGCUGACUUCAAACUCACAUAUUGAAUCCGCAUCAACACAACGUCACAUCGAGCUUGCGCUUUGCCAUUUAGCUCAAAAUGGUAAGCCUAUAUUGUGUUGAGUAAAACUGAUUUCACAUGUCUCUCACUCUCUAGAGCAGGCCCAGCUUAUAUGCAUACCUCCUCUUAUUUGAUACAGAGGCAAACGCGAUUGAUUUCAAAAGAACGGGAAGCGUGACAGAGAUCGUGAGAAUAUCAGUGGAGUCGAGUAGAGAUGACAUUCGCAGCUUAGCAAAGAAGAUACUCAGAUCAAACCCUCACUUCUCAAACUGAACAUGAAGUAACAGCAAGAGAUGUACAUAAACAUAACUGGCGAGCUGAGUCUGAAACUAAGAUUAUGUCCUGUGAUCAUUUAUAUGAUGUUGUAUCCUGUCUCCGUUGAACGUGGACUCCGUUGCUAAUUUUCCUGAACAGUUUCUUGAUCAUUUUUUGCUACAAAUCUGUAGUGAAUACUCCUUAUGGUUUGAAAUUUGAUAUGGCCAAGCUCUCCUAUGUAUGAUUGAUGUUGGGAAACAUGGAGUAGAUGGAUCAAACUCAUGUCUCCUCGCUGAUGUUGUGUUUUGCAUUAAAGUAACAAGACUUAUUUGGAAUCAGUUUUGUUCUCAUUUAACAAUCAUACAAGUGUUACAAAUGGAGUAUGUGAGUGGUCACAAAAGAUAGUUUUAAGAGUAGAUGUUUUCGUAACUCCUAAUGAUUUUAAUUGAAUCUCUUUUUCUUUGUUCUUUUGUCGAUGUGAUGGCAUUGUUAGAUUCUUCUUCUAAUCGUAAAGGCCUUCGUCAUACCAUAUAUCGACCAGAAAGUCCACCAUCUCCUACACAAACAUCAGAUUGGACAAAUUCAGUUAUUUGAGAAUGAUUUUUUAGCUUCUUUGAAUAAAUGAGAGAUUAGAUCAAAAGCUUACGGGUAAAGGAAUCGACUCAGAGAAAGGUUCAUGAGUUGAGAGAAGAUCUUCAUAUGUAGUGGACCAACUACAAGAGAUUCAAGAUUAUGUUAAAGAGUAUACAUCACUAGAAUAUUAAUAAAACACAACAAGAGAAACAUAGAUCUCAUUGUUAAAAUAACCUUAUAAUCUGAUCCUUUGUAGUCUUUUUUCUUUGUCGAGAUUGAUCUCCCACCCAUUUUUCUCUGUUCUCUUGCCACACCUUUACACCUGCAACCAAUAAGAUGCUUAAGAACAAAUAGUCUCAAAUUACAGAACCAACAAAUUAUAAUCUCUUAUGGUUGCUCUUAUAAUAUCUUUGUUAAGCUAGUUGUGAAAAAUGUACCAUGAUUUACAGGUGUAAUGGUGUUUUCAGUGUUCUUUUUAACCGAGCUUUUAUCUUCUAUGACCAGUUUUGAAAGCUCAAGAGGUUUGUUUUCCGUGGACAGACAAUUUGCAGUAAAAAGCUCCAUUGUUGUGAUUCAAUCGAAUGAUCAUUCCUUUGCGAAAUAAAUUUGAUUAUACGAACAUUCAACAAAGAAUAUCAAAGGUUCCCACACAAGCUGCUAGAAACACAAACAUUAUAUUAAAACCAUAUUCAUCAUGAAACUAUUACAGGAAAGAGGUUGGGUUUAGUUUUACCUCAUUGACAUUUUCAUCAAUCAGCUUGUGGGAAAACCUAAAAGAAAAGAUUAAAUAAACAAGAAUACCAGAUUCCUCAGAAAAAUAUCAAUUCAUUAUCAAAGGAUGAAAAUUCAAUACAAAACCAAAAAAAAAAAAAAAAAGAUUGAUUGUUUCACAUUGCCGUUCAUAUUCAUUACCAAAUCUUCAUCUAUAAAGCAACACAAAGAGUAUAUCUUUAAAUGUACACCUACUUCUGUUUCCUUAAGAAAGAUCAUUUUGGAACAUAAUGUAUUCAAGAUCCAAUCAGAAGCAUUCAAGAUCCAAUUAUUAUCUUAUGGAUAAGCUAAAGUUCUUUAGAGAAACAGAACAUUUACAGGAAACAAGAACAGAGGAAAGAGGAUUUACCUACCUAAAUGAGGACGUACCCAGCAGAAAAUUUGGUGGGAGGAUUGAAACUUGUUUUCUUUUAGGUUUAUAUGUAAAUGAAAUGUUAGAUCUUGAUGAGCCAAUUAAAAUGAACUAAAAAUAAAGUUAAAAAGGAAUAAUAGCCAAAAAUAGGAGAGAAUAAAAAGGAAUUAAAGUGUUUACUUUGUUGGUAGAUGAGUAGUAAUAAUAAUAAAAUGAUCUAUAUCCACCACCACUAUCCAGAUCUGUUUUGGGUCAAUGAGACAGAAAAAUUGAAGUAAGGCCCACGCAUCUGAUAAAACAACACAGCUUUCUCUUUCAAUCAUACGUGGAUGUGAUUAGGAAAAAGAUAAUAUAUCAUCAUUUACUAUAUGGUAAGAGAAUUAUAAUGAAAUUUUGUCACAUGUUUUAAUCAUAUUAUUAUUAUAUUUACAAUUCUACAUACACUACUUUGAUUUUUCCUCAGAUUUUAUCUCGAGAUGACUGACCAUAUCAAAUCUAUACUAUACUAAAAGAGGAUAUAAGCCCCUCUUAGAGUGUCCACGUAGGCACAAAAAAUCGUCCAAUCAGAGAGUCCAAAAUUGCCAUGUCAUCUCAUUUAUUUUUUCGUAAAAAAUGAAAAAACAAUGCAAAGGAGAAGAUCGAACCCGGGUUAGUAUGACAUAAAUAUAGGGCAUAUACCACUAAGCUAUUGAAACUUUCUUGGACACAUAUACAAGAAUUACUAAAUAUGUAAUCACAAACUCUUAUGUACAUUUACAAUAAUAUGGAUUCAACUUUCAAAACUCCGAUACUUUGUUUUGUAAAAUAAAAAAAAGUAAGUGACUAAGCUAAUAUAUUCUUUGAAAGUGUGAGAACAUUGACAAAUAUGAAAAAACAUAGAUUUUUGUUUUCGUGACAAAGUUAAGAAUUUUGUAAAAGUAAGUUUAACAUAUAAAUUUCCGUGACAAAUAUGAAAAAGCAUAGAUUUUGUACAAUUUUAACAAAAGAACUCAAAACAUAGUUCUCUAAUGACUUAAUAAAAUAUUAUUUAAGGGUGCAAUAAUUAAAUAUAUCAAUUCACUAAAUUUUGUAAUUUAUAGACAAAACAAUAACACAACAAAUUUUGAAACAUUUGUUUAACCUAUCGAUUUAUUUUCAUGAGAAUCCAACUAAACAAGAUAAAAAAACAAUUAGAUUUAUUUAAUUACAAUUUUAUUCAAUUUUGAAUAAUUUCAAAUUGUACUAAUGUAUCUUUUUGAAGUUACAAAAAAUAAUGUUCUUUCUUUAUUACACUAGCAUUAUAUAUAGAUUCCAUAUACACAAAUAAAUAUAAUAUAACAACAUAAGCUUGCUUUCCCCGAUUCAUAUGAAAACUUUUUAAGUUAUCCACCAAACCAAAUUAAUUAAAUCAAUAAAAUUGUUAGAAUACAAAAAGUUAAUAUAUAAUUUUAUUUUAAAUUAAAUUAAUAAAAAGUGUAUUUUCAUUAAAAACAAAAUAAUAAAUAAGUAAAACUGAUUUGAUGGUAAUUUUUAUGACAUAUAUAUAUAUAUUAUGUGAAAGAAAUAUAAGCUUAAUAUGGAAAAAAAUCUUAAAUACAAAAAACUCUAAAAUUAACAAAAAAAAUUAAUAAAAAUUAAACUAUGAUAUCAAUUGAAAGCUUCUUAGACAAUAUUAAUAAAAUAUUUAAGCGCUAAUUAGAUAAAUUUGAUUUUUUUGCUAGCCAAAAGUUUAUUAUAAUUAGCAUCAGUUAUUUCAAGAUAUUUAAGAAAUGAUAGACUUAAAUGAUAUAUCAUUUGCACAUCAUUUCCAGUUUUUUUAUGCAUAGAUUCAAUUUAUUCAGAGCAGUUAUUCCACAAAGAGAUCGUAUGAGAUAUUAUUUUGAUAUUCAGAUUUGUUUCUUGACUGUUAAGAAGAUUGAUAACUGUAAAAAUAUCACCUUCGAAUAUUAUAUGUCUAUAACCGAAUCCCCAACAUGAGACAACUUAGUUUAAAAAGUAAAUAAUUUCAUUUUUCUUAUAUUAUAUAAUAAAUAUAUAUUAUUUACUGUUAACAAAAAUAUAGUUAUUCAUCUAUCACAAAUAUCUAUGGAAAUAUGUGAAUUAAGUACAACAAUCAAACAACAUAAUAAUUUCCACAAAAAAAAUUGAAAAAAUAUAUUUAUGUUAGGUAGUCUUAUUUUAUAUUCUUUAAAUAAUGUAAUACAAUAUUAUACAUUAUUUUUUUAGAAUUGAGAAAUACAUAUAUAUUAGUUAGAUAAAUUAAGCGAUAAUUAGACAAAUUUGAUUUUUUUUCGAGCCAAAAGUUUAUUAUUAAUUAGCAUCAGUUAUUUCAAGAUGUUUAAGAAAGGAUAGACAAAAAAAUAGGAUGGACAUAAAUGAUAUAUGAACUAUGAAUAGUAUUUUGUAAAGCUGACUUAGAUAACACAUCUGCACAUCUAUUUCCAGUCCUUUUUGAUGUCUAAAUUCAAUUUCUUCAGAGCAGUUAUUCCACAAAAAGAUCGUAUGAGAUAUUGUUGUGAUAUUCAGAUUUGUUUUUUGACUGUUAAGAAGAUUGAUAACUGUAAAAUAUCUCAUUCGAAUAUGAUAUGUCUAUAACUGAGUCUACAACAUGAGACAAGUUUGUUUUAAAAGUAAAUAAUUUUAUUUUUCUUAUAUUAUAUAAUAAAUAGAUAUUAUUUACUGAUAAUAAAAAUAUUGUUAUUCAUCUAUCACAAAUAACUAUGCAAAUAUGUGAAUCAAGUACAACAAUCAAACAACAUAAUGAUUUCCACAAAGAAAUUUUUAAAAAUAUAUUUAUGUUAUGUAGUCUUAUUUUAUAUUCUUUAAAUAAUGUAAUACAAUAUUAUACAUUAUUUUUUAAAAUUUAGAAAUACAUCUAAUAUCUUAUCCGCGCGUAGCGCGGUUAAAAAAUCUAGUUAUCAAUAAUCAAGAUAGAUAACAUGUUUGCGUGUUUGGUUUACCAUUCUUGAUUUUGCUUUUUUCUUCUUCUUAUCAUAAUUGCGUUAACCUAGAUUAAGUGUUUUAAGAGUAAUAUUUAUGUCUUAUGAUGAUGAUAAUGAUAUUGAAAUUGUAGUCAUUUGCAUUAUCGGUAAUCUUACACCACAUUGGCGCUGACAAACACAAAAGAAACAGACUUUUUCUCUCUCAAUUUGGUUACAUAUUCUAUUCCAUACUGUAAAAGUUUUAAAACCCUGUUAGUGUUAAGAUUUCAAUCAAUAUCAACCACUUACUGGUAUGAUUCUCUCGUUCGUUUAUUUCCUUGUUGCUUAGCUUUGUAUUUUUCGGUUUAGGAAACUAGAUCGUAUUGCUUUGGUAUAUAACAGUGUAAAGACCUAAAUAUGAAUUGAUAUGAUAAAUCCUUAUCUGAUUCUUCUAUAGAACCAAAAGAAACAAAUCCUUAUCCGAUUCUUCUUCUAAAAGAUAUGCAAGAAGAUCAAAAUACCAUUAAAAUAAAAAACAGAUCUUUUAAUCGGAAGAAGAGGUUUGUGGCAGAAACAAACCAGAAUCAUGGACGUUAUGGAAAAUAAACAUUCUCAAAGGAACUAGAGGUUGUGGAGACGCAUUUUCAAAAGUAGAAAAAAUACACGAAAUAAGUGUGGGCCUUAGUUUGAAAGGAAGAAUGUGAGAUAUCAGACAAAUCAUACAUUGACAUUUAGACAAAUGAAAGUCUAGUAUAUAAAAAAUAUUCAACUCUAAUUAGUACGAAACCUUUUGGAAAGAAAAUCAAAAAUAAAACCACGCGAGUUUGCUUAAAGCCCAAAAUGAACGAUAUCGUACUAACCAGACAAUACAUAGUUGGACAUGGAUUCAAUAAAUCCCAACUAAAAUAAUAUUAACAACUUAAACUCAAUUAUUAAUCAGGUAAAUUACUUGUGUCUUGUGUGAGUUGGUUAAUAAUAUAUAUCUAAGUUGGUAAAACAAAUAAAAGUGUAUCAUCAUCUCAUUUAUUAAAGAAGUUAGAAAUCUUAAUUAAAAGUUAUGAACUAUCAACAAGACAACAAGUCAAUUUUUUUCUUCUGUAAUGGAAGUAUAAAAUAUGUGAAUAUUUACCAAAACUCAAAGCCUCAAAGUCUGACAAUCUAAAUGAUGUAAAUUUUGUUAAGUCACAUAUCGGUUCGUAAACCGAUUCAAAAGGUUUAAUCACAUAGAAUUCAAGCUCACACGAAGCAAUAGAUCACCAAGACAAAACAAAGGUUUCAGACAAUCUGUCUUUCAUUACAGAGAGUUUUGAUACACAUAAAGCUCAUAGGACACAUUACUAUCUUUUCUUUACAAAGUCACUAGUUCAAAGGGAUAACAAUAUCGCCAAUGUUUUUGUGCCAUGGAUCCG
RNAcentral lists this long non-coding RNA (25163 nucleotides) under Brassica rapa (field mustard). Its description in RNAcentral is "long non-coding RNA (BRAP_LNC007238)". The record is from RNAcentral. Lineage: Eukaryota; Viridiplantae; Streptophyta; Magnoliopsida; Brassicales; Brassicaceae.